GGAGACGUGCCAGAGUGGCCGAUUGGGGCUCCCUGCUAAGGAGUUGUCUGCAUUGCGCGGACCGGAGGUUCGAAUCCUCUCGUCUCCG
RNAcentral lists this transfer RNA (88 nucleotides) under Corynebacterium sp. Its description in RNAcentral is "tRNA-Ser(gct)". It matches the Rfam family "tRNA". Rfam says of the family: Transfer RNA (tRNA) molecules are approximately 80 nucleotides in length. RNAcentral also lists the same sequence under 10 other names. The record is from RNAcentral. Lineage: Bacteria; Bacillati; Actinomycetota; Actinomycetes; Mycobacteriales; Corynebacteriaceae.